This 450-nucleotide ribosomal RNA is filed under the name uncultured bacterium. RNAcentral describes it as "partial 16S ribosomal RNA". It matches the Rfam family "Bacterial small subunit ribosomal RNA", at positions 354 to 796 of the family's 1533-position model. The record is from RNAcentral.
GUGGGGAAUAUUGGACAAUGGGCGAAAGCCUGAUCCAGCCAUGCCGCGUGUGUGAAGAAGGUCUUCGGAUUGUAAAGCACUUUAAGUUGGGAGGAAGGGCAGUAAGUUAAUACCUUGCUGUUUUGACGUUACCAACAGAAUAAGCACCGGCUAACUUCGUGCCAGCAGCCGCGGUAAUACAGAGGGUGCAAGCGUUAAUCGGAUUUACUGGGCGUAAAGCGCGCGUAGGUGGUUUUGUAAGUUGGAGGUGAAAUCCCCGGGCUCAACAUGUGAACUGCCUCCAAAACUGCAUGACUAGAGUACGGUAGAGGGUAGUGGAAUUUCCUGUGUAGCGGUGAAAUGCGUAGAUAUAGGAAGGAACACCAGUGGCGAAGGCGACUACCUGGACUGAUACUGACACUGAGGUGCGAAAGCGUGGGGAGCAAACAGGAUUAGAAACCCUUGUAGUCC